CCUACGGGCGGCAGCAGUGAGGAAUAUUGGUCAAUGGGCGUAAGCCUGAACCAGCCAAGCCGCGUGAGGGAUGAAGGUUCUAUGCAUUGUAAACUUCUUUUAUAAGGGUACAAAGUCCGGCACGAGACCCUGUCCGUAUGUACUUUAUGAAUAAGGAUCGGCUAACUCCGUGCCAGCAGCCGCGGUAAUACGGAGGAUUCGAGCGUUAUCCGGAUUUAUUGGGUUUAAAGGGUGCGUGAGCGGGCUUUUAAGUCAGCGGUGAAAAGCUCGGGGUCAAACCCAGACUUGCCGUUGAAACUGGGUGGCUUGAGAAUGUGAGAGGCAGGCGGAAUGCGUGGUGUAGCGGUGAAAUGCUUAGAUAGCACGCAGAACCCAGAUUGCGAAGGCAGCCUACCAGGCCAUGUCUGACGCUGAGGCACGAAAGCGUGGGGAUCAAACAGGAUUAGAUACCCUAGUAGUC
Molecule: ribosomal RNA, 460 nt
Filed under: uncultured bacterium
Lineage: Bacteria
Description: partial 16S ribosomal RNA
Rfam family: Bacterial small subunit ribosomal RNA
Source: RNAcentral